GACGAACGCUGGCGGCGUGCUUAACACAUGCAAGUCGAACGGAAAGGCCCUGCUUUUGUGGGGUGCUCGAGUGGCGAACGGGUGAGUAACACGUGAGUAACCUGCCCUUGACUUUGGGAUAACUUCAGGAAACUGGGGCUAAUACCGGAUAGGAGCUCCUGCUGCAUGGUGGGGGUUGGAAAGUUUCGGCGGUUGGGGAUGGACUCGCGGCUUAUCAGCUUGUUGGUGGGGUAGUGGCUUACCAAGGCUUUGAGGGGUAGCCGGCCUGGGAGGGUGACCGGCGACAUUGGGACUGAGGUACGGCCCAGACGCCUACGGGAGGCAGCAGUGGGGAGUAUGGCACAAUGGGCGGAAGCCUGAUGCAGCAACGCCGCGUGCGGGAUGACGGCCUUCGGGUUGUAAACCGCUUUCGCCUGUGACGAAGCGUGAGUGACGGUAAUGGGUAAAGAAGCACCGGCUAACUACGUG
This 468-nucleotide ribosomal RNA is filed under the name uncultured bacterium. Its description in RNAcentral is "partial 16S ribosomal RNA". It matches the Rfam family "Bacterial small subunit ribosomal RNA", at positions 28 to 507 of the family's 1533-position model. The record is from RNAcentral.